AUAUAUAGCUCAGCAAUGGAGCACGGGCCACCACUGAACGUCACCAUAUUAGGACGCCUACACCCCUCCUCCGUUCCCUUUGUACCUUCUCACCGUACGACCUCCCUGGGCUGCCUCACUACCUUCUCCACCUCCACGAGCUGUGCGGUUGAGUUGUUCUUCUUCCGCGGUGAGCUUUUUACUGCUAAUCGAUUGUGUGGUGAACCAGCGACUGCAGCCCUCUCCUACACGCUGCUGCUGCUGCUUUUUCUCGCGCGAGCGUUGUGUAAUUGUUGUGUACAAGUGCAUUGCUGAUAAGUUAUCUAAAAAUUAAUUAAUGGACAAAGCCUCCUUCCGUGUGACAACCUCUGAAAACCAGCAAAAAUGAUGCUGCACUUUUUUACUAAUUCAUCUGUAGUAAAAGUAAGUGUAUGAUUGUUGCAUUGCUCUGACCAUAUAUCCAACAUGACACAGGUUUACGGUGACCUGACCGUUGACUACUUGAAGAAGAUGUUCCACCAACUGUCGUUGCUCUAGGACUAUGAGUACAUCUACAUUUCUUUUCUUUUUACAGCUUGUGUACUUCUCAAGUUAAAUUUGAACUGUUUGCAGCAAACAUUCUUUUGCUACUGAUGCGGAACUUCCUAUUUAGUUAUGUCAGGCAACUCCUUUCAUGAUAAUUGAUAUUUGUUGACCUGCUUGAUAACCUGACAUGAGCCUUUUAUGAACUUGACCUGCUGACAUGAAGCUUAAGAGAGGUAAAAUUAUAUCAUGUUCAUAGAGUCGGCAGCAGUUCAACAACUUGACCUGCUGACAUGAACCUUUACAAGCCAACAGUGUAUAUUUCAGUUACUUCUAAGUUUGAAUGAGAUUCCGUGUUAGUUCCUUCAUUCAAAGCAGGUGCAUUUUUUUCAGGUUGUGGUCUUUUUGCUGAUUGAUGUACUGAUAGGUGUUGUGACCGAUUGGAGGCACAAACUUCACAUUUGCUGGGAUGUAUGAGUUGCAGUUGCUCUUAUUACAACACUUCACAACAAUGCAACUUGCUUUUGUUAGCAUUUUUUUCUGGAAGAAUUGGUAUUUUUUUUUGGAGAAUUCUGGAAGAAUUGGUAGUGCAUGUCUGAAAUUGCUAUUUGCAAAUAAGGACAAGAGUGUUUUUAUUCUUAGAUAAUUGAUAUUUGGCAGGGAUUCCCUGCUUAAAGCUCAGUCUACUAUUAAAAUAAGGGAUUCAAAUUUAUAUCAGGUUUUGCUUCCUCUUAAAAUCUAUCUGUGAGAGAUCGUGCAAUGGAAAGUUACAAGAUAAGUCAGUGGAGGCAAAUUAACAAAGCAAAAUAUCUUUUGAUCCUCCGAGAUAAGUCAGUGGGAUCUUAUGAAGAAGGAUCCAUUUAAUGGCGUAGAGGUUGAAGCAUCAGGGUGCAAUGGACACCAGGUAGAUAACCAUCCUAUGCUUGAAAGGAAAUCUAAAUCGAUACCUGAAGAUUGUGAACGAAAACAGUAAGUUCAGAUAAAGCCAAUGAUAGGGGCAAUCAUUGGACCAUUCGAGAGAUGUCUCAUUGCUUUGGCUUUCAUUAAAGUUGUGUCCUCACCAACUGACAUCCAGGUGAAGGAAUGUGGGCGGAUCAUAUGUUGAAAGGACUGGGCAAACAAGCAUUGGCAUCAUGAAGGAAGGCGGGUCUGUGGUGUUGUCCGCCUGUUACAACAUAGGUAACUCUUCGAUGCCGAAUAAAUAGAAGCAACCGCCGCACUGCUGGGCAUGAAAACUGAUCAUCUUGGAGACUGAUUAUGUUGUUGUCAUUGCUGCGCUAAUUUCUGGCACAAAUAAGCGAGGCCCUUGGUGUGGUGCAGCAGGUCAUGAAGCAACACAACUCUGUCAGGUACAAAAUUAUCAAGAUGGGGAGAGAGAGUAACAGGGCAGCAGAUGCCUUAGCCAG
Non-coding RNA from Lolium perenne, 1907 nucleotides. The record is from RefSeq and is a predicted model, not a curated record. Lineage: Eukaryota; Viridiplantae; Streptophyta; Magnoliopsida; Poales; Poaceae.